Molecule: ribosomal RNA, 492 nt
Filed under: uncultured bacterium
Lineage: Bacteria
Description: partial 16S ribosomal RNA
Rfam family: Bacterial small subunit ribosomal RNA
Source: RNAcentral
AGUGAACGCUGGCGGUAGGCCUAACACAUGCAAGUCGAACGGCAGCACAGUAAGAGCUUGCUCUUACGGGUGGCGAGUGGCGGACGGGUGAGGAAUACAUCGGAAUCUACUUUUUCGUGGGGGAUAACGUAGGGAAACUUACGCUAAUACCGCAUACGACCUACGGGUGAAAGCAGGGGAUCUUCGGACCUUGCGCGAUUGAAUGAGCCGAUGUCGGAUUAGCUGGUUGGCGGGGUAAAGGCCCACCAAGGCGACGCUCCGUAGCUGGUCUGAGAGGAUGAUCAGCCACACUGGAACUGAGACACGGUCCAGACUCCUACGGGAGGCAGCAGUGGGGAAUAUUGGACAAUGGGCGGAAGCCUGAUCCAGCCAUACCGCGUGGGUGAAGAAGGCCUUCGGGUUGUAAAGCCCUUUUGUUGGGAAAGAAAAGCAGCAGGUUAAUACCCCGCUGUUCUGACGGUACCCAAAGAAUAAGCACCGGCUAACUUCGUG